GAUGAACGCUAGCGGCAGGCUUAAUACAUGCAAGUCGAGGGGCAGCAGGACUGUAGCAAUACAGUUGCUGGCGACCGGCAAACGGGUGCGGAACACGUACGCAACCUACCCAAAACUGGGGGAUAGCCCGGGGAAACCCGGAUUAAUACCUCGUAACCUUUUUAAGUGGCAUCACUUGAUAAGUAUAGCUCCGGCGGUUUUGGAUGGGCGUGCGCCUGAUUAGGUAGUUGGUGCGGGUAACGGCCCACCAAGCCUGCGAUCAGUAACUGGUGUGAGAGCACGACCAGUCACACGGGCACUGAGACACGGGCCCGACUCCUACGGGAGGCAGCAGUAAGGAAUAUUGGUCAAUGGACGCAAGUUUGAACCAGCCAUGCCGCGUGAAGGAUGAAGGUCCUCUGGAUUGUAAACCUCUUUUAUGGGGGACGAAACCCGGAUAUUCUUAUCCGAUUGACGGUACCUCAGGAAUAAGCACCGGCUAACUCC
RNAcentral lists this ribosomal RNA (486 nucleotides) under uncultured bacterium. Its description in RNAcentral is "partial 16S ribosomal RNA". It matches the Rfam family "Bacterial small subunit ribosomal RNA", at positions 28 to 504 of the family's 1533-position model. The record is from RNAcentral.